AUUGAACGCUGGCGGCAUGCCUUACACAUGCAAGUCGAACGGCAGCGGGGACUUCGGUCCGCCGGCGAGUGGCGAACGGGUGAGUAAAGUAUCGGAACGUACCUUUCAGUGGGGGAUAACGUAGCGAAAGUUACGCUAAUACCGCAUAUUCUGUGAGCAGGAAAGCAGGGGAUCGCAAGACCUUGCGCUGAUUGAGCGGCCGAUAUCAGAUUAGCUAGUUGGUGAGGUAAAGGCUCACCAAGGCGACGAUCUGUAGCGGGUCUGAGAGGAUGAUCCGCCACACUGGAACUGAGACACGGUCCAGACUCCUACGGGAGGCAGCAGUGGGGAAUUUUGGACAAUGGGGGCAACCCUGAUCCAGCCAUGCCGCGUGAGUGAAGAAGGCCUCGGUUGUAAGACUCUUCGGUCCGGGACGGAAAGUACGCAUGGCGUAA
This 434-nucleotide ribosomal RNA is filed under the name uncultured bacterium. RNAcentral's name for it is "bacterial SSU rRNA". It matches the Rfam family "Bacterial small subunit ribosomal RNA", at positions 30 to 468 of the family's 1533-position model. The record is from RNAcentral.